RNAcentral lists this ribosomal RNA (3390 nucleotides) under Triticum aestivum (bread wheat). RNAcentral describes it as "partial small subunit ribosomal RNA". Lineage: Eukaryota; Viridiplantae; Streptophyta; Magnoliopsida; Poales; Poaceae. The record is from RNAcentral.
CUCAUCAUUAACCCCGAAUCUCCGCUCCGCGCGGCGCGGGCGUCUCCCUGCUGCUUCCCCUCCCUCGCGUAAAAAAAGAGAGAGGCGACCGAAAUCCUAACGGCCUGCCGCCUCACCCCCUCCAGACUGCAGUCCACGCUGGGCCGGCCUCCCCGCCGAAGCAGGACCUCCGCUCCCCUCGCCGCCGUCCCCCACCCUGGAGGUCCGUACGGACGUGGAUUCUUCUUCCGCUGGCGUUUCACUACAUUUAAACACGCAGAAUGCCUCGAGGGCGAGGUUCGUCUGUGUCAACACACGAGAAGCCUAAUGUUGAUGCAGCAGUCGAUUCUGAUAAAGAUAACAGCAGGCAUAAGAGGAGCGCUUAUUUGUUGCUGGGGUUGUUUAUACUUUUCCUUCAUGGAUCCUGGUCUGUUUACCGUAUGCAGUUUGCAAAUCUUCCUUUGCCCCUUGGUGCCGAGCAGGCUGGUAAGCGGGGGUUUUCAGAGGCUUCUGCCCUUAAGCAUGUGAAGUACUUGACAGGCCUGGGUCCUCAUGCAGUUGGUUCAGAUGCCCUUGAUCUUGCUGUGCAGUAUGUAUAUGCAGAAGCAGAGAAAAUAAAGAAGACAGCUCAUUGGGAUGUUGAUGUUCAACUGGAGCUGUUCCACACAGAUAUUGGUGCAAAUCGUCUAGCUGGUGGACUUUUCAAGGGAAAAACACUCUUGUACUCAGACCUUAAGCAUGUUAUCCUCAGAAUUGUUCCCAAGUAUUUACCGGAAGCUGAAGAAAAUUUGAUUCUUGUCUCUUCUCAUAUUGACACGGUUUCCACAACGGGAGGUGCCGGAGAUUGCAGUUCAUGUGUAGGAGUCAUGCUAGAGCUGGCACGGGGAGUAGCUCAGUGGGCUCAUGGGUUUAAGAGUGGUGUCCUGUUUCUGUUCAACACAGGGGAAGAAGAGGGUCUUGACGGGGCCCACAGUUUUAUAACUCAGCACCACUGGAGAAACUCAGUACGUUUUGCUGUUGAUUUGGAAGCUAUGGGUAUCAGUGGGAAAUCCACCCUUUUUCAGGGUACUCACCAAUGGGCUUUGGAGAGCUUUGCUGCUGUAGCGAAGUAUCCAUCUGCUCAAAUAGCUACACAGGAUGUUUUCCGUUCUGGAGCGAUAAAAUCUGCUACUGAUUUCCAAAUAUAUCAGGAGGUUGCUGGUCUUCCUGGCCUUGAUUUUGCAUAUACAGAUACGACAUCCGUGUAUCACACAAAGAAUGACAAAAUAGAGCUCCUGACACCUGGAUCCCUUCAGCACAAUGGAGAAAAUAUGCUUGCCUUCCUACUCCAUGCUGCUUCAUCACCAAAAUUUAUGAAAGAUGCACACCAGGCAAAGCAAGAGAGCACAGAGCAGAAUAAUGCUAUUUUUUUCGACAUUCUGGGCAAGUACAUGGUGGUCUAUCCACAGCGGUUAGCAACCAUGUUUCACAACUCAAUAAUAUUUCAGUCGCUCCUGAUAUGGGGAACAUCACUGCUUAUGGGUGGACGUCCUGGUCUUGUGUCCUUCGGAAUAGCAUGUUUGAGCAUUAUUUUGACGUUGAUAUUUUCUAUCUUCUUACCGGUUGUGGUGGCAUUUUCCCUGCCGCAUAUUUGUCCUUUUCCUGUUCCAUUUGUUGGAAAUCCGUGGUUAGUUAUUGGCUUAUUUGGUUCACCUGCACUGCUUGGCGCAUUCAUUGGUCAGCGUUUUGGAUUUAUUCUCCUGAAGAGGCACAUUCAAGAAGUGUAUUCAAGAACAAAGCCAGGUCUAACUGGUAACACGAUGGAUUACAUUGUUGGCCUGGAAGCUGAGAGGUGGAUUUUCAAAUCUGGUUUUGUCCAAUGGCUUAUAGUUUUGAUACUCGGAACCUAUUUGAAGGUCGGCGCAUCCUAUAUAGCACUCAUCUGGCUUGUUUCGCCUGCUUUUGCAUAUGGUCUUAUGGAAGCAACACUAACUCCUGUAAGGUCACCUAAACAGCUUAAGGUCUUUACAUUGGUCCUGGCUUUGGCUGUGCCAGUUAUGUCAUCUGCUGGUUUGUUUAUUCGCUUGGUAGAUGUGAUGGUUGGCAGUAUUGUACGUGCUGAUAGGAACCCUGGUGGACUACCAGACUGGCUUGGAAAUGUAGUAGUUGCUGUUGCCAUCGCUAUAGUCGUGUCCUUCACGUUUGUGUAUCUUCUUUCGUAUGUCCAUAUUUCAGGUGCCAAAAAAACACUUCUUUCUGUGUUGUGUGCUUUCUUUGGUCUUGCCCUUGUACUGGUAUCAAGUGGCAUUGUUCCAGCAUUCACAGAGGAUAUUGCUCGUUCUGUAAAUGUUGUGCAUGUUGUUGAUACUACAAGAAUGAAUGAUGGAAACACAGAACCAUUAUCCUAUGUUUCCCUGUUCUCGAACAUGCCUGGAAAGUUGACACAGGAAUUGAUGGACCUAAGAGGGGAAGAGUUUUCUUGCGGAAGGAAUAUGACAACUGAUUUUGUGACAUUUACCGUGAAGUAUGGCUGCAGGAGUUACAAAGGGAGCAAUGCUGGAUGGAGCAAAUCAGAAGUUCCAGUGCUCCAUGUUGAAAGCGAUUCUGCUGCCGAUGAUGCCCGCAGAACAGUAGUAUCAGUUGAUACCAAGUCAUCUACACGGUGGUCACUCGCAAUCAAUAUGCAGGAAAUCGAUGACUUCACUGUUCAAGUGGAUUCAGAUAAGUUGGUUCAACUGGGUGGUAAGAGCGAGGUCGAUGGAUGGCAUACAAUCCAGUUUGCAGGCGGCAAGAACGCGCCAACAAAAUUCCAGCUAACCCUUUUCUGGUCAAGCAAUGCGACACAGGCAUCUCCAAAGGAAGCUAACGCAGAGGACCCUCCUCUCCUGGUAAAACUAAGAACGGACGUGAAUAGGGCCACACCGAUGGUUGAGACGCUUCUCGAGAAGCUUCCACGCUGGUGUGCAGCUUUCGGUAAGUCCACAUCUCCUUACACGCUGGCGUUCUUGACCGCUCUUCCUGUCGAUAUUUAGGCGACGCACAUUGUGUGCCCCAACAUUGUAGGGUAUUAACAGUUUGACAUAGUGUUGAUUUACGCUGUAUCUAGCUAUUCGUAUUAGAUUCAAUUGCAUUCAUAGCUUCAAACUUAUAGGGCAGCCCCGUGUCAAAAAUGUGCCUGAUGAAUGAAAGGUCGGUCUGUUUGAUGUCGAAAAACUUGAGGUUAGAAUGGUGGUUGCAAUAAAGACAGGUGUUAUGUGAUGUUACUUAUGGAGGCAGUUGAAUGGGCAUGGCCAGAUCAGAGACAUUCUGUAUCGUCGAUUUUCUGAUUGGUGUGUAUAGUGAUAGUUUGGUCCCGUGUCUGAAUCGUGGACAAAGUUGGCUGUUCCAGUCCAAAGUCCAAACUUGAGGAAAGUGUCGGCUCGAUCAUGGGAC